GCUGGCGUAGCUCAGUGGGCAGAGCGGCUGACUUGUAAUCAGCAGGUCGGGGGUUCGAUCCCUCUCGCCAGCUCCA
Molecule: transfer RNA, 76 nt
Filed under: Pseudomonadota bacterium
Lineage: Bacteria; Pseudomonadati; Pseudomonadota
Also listed under: 1 other name
Description: tRNA-Thr
Rfam family: tRNA
About the family: Transfer RNA (tRNA) molecules are approximately 80 nucleotides in length.
Source: RNAcentral